RNAcentral lists this ribosomal RNA (429 nucleotides) under Chloroflexota bacterium. Its description in RNAcentral is "Chloroflexi bacterium partial 16S ribosomal RNA". It matches the Rfam family "Bacterial small subunit ribosomal RNA", at positions 355 to 776 of the family's 1533-position model. Lineage: Bacteria; Bacillati; Chloroflexota. The record is from RNAcentral.
UGGGGAAUAUUGCACAAUGGGCGCAAGCCUGAUGCAGCCAUGCCGCGUGUGUGAAGAAGGUCUUCGGGUUGUAAAGCACUUUCAGCGGGGAGGAAGGCGAUAAGGUUAAUAACCUUGUCGAUUGACGUUACCCGCAGAAGAAGCACCGGCUAACUCCGUGCCAGCAGCCGCGGUAAUACGGAGGGUGCAAGCGUUAAUCGGAAUUACUGGGCGUAAAGCGCACGCAGGCGGUCUGUCAAGUCGGAUGUGAAAUCCCCGGGCUCAACCUGGGAACUGCAUUCGAAACUGGCAGGCUAGAGUCUUGUAGAGGGGGGUAGAAUUCCAGGUGUAGCGGUGAAAUGCGUAGAGAUCUGGAGGAAUACCGGUGGCGAAGGCGGACCCCUGGACAAAGACUGACGCUCAGGUGCGAAAGCGUGGGGAGCAAACAGG